This 30-nucleotide non-coding RNA is filed under the name Mus musculus (house mouse). The record is from RNAcentral. Lineage: Eukaryota; Metazoa; Chordata; Mammalia; Rodentia; Muridae.
UNGCAACAGGUGGAGGUCUGGGCUCAGCAA